GCCGAUAUAGCUCAGUGUUUAGAGCAGCGCAUUCGUAAUGCGAAGGUUGUAGAUUCAACUCCUAUUAUCGCACCA
This 75-nucleotide transfer RNA is filed under the name Rahnella laticis. Its description in RNAcentral is "Rahnella sp. SAP-17 tRNA-Thr". It matches the Rfam family "tRNA". Rfam says of the family: Transfer RNA (tRNA) molecules are approximately 80 nucleotides in length. Their secondary structure includes four short double-helical elements and three loops (D, anti-codon, and T loops). Lineage: Bacteria; Pseudomonadati; Pseudomonadota; Gammaproteobacteria; Enterobacterales; Yersiniaceae. RNAcentral also lists the same sequence under 1 other name. The record is from RNAcentral.